RNAcentral lists this ribosomal RNA (428 nucleotides) under uncultured prokaryote. Its description in RNAcentral is "bacterial SSU rRNA". It matches the Rfam family "Bacterial small subunit ribosomal RNA", at positions 355 to 774 of the family's 1533-position model. The record is from RNAcentral.
UUAGGAAUUUUGCGCAAUGGGAGCAAUCCUGACGCAGCAACGCCGCGUGGGUGAUGAAGGCCUUCGGGUCGUAAAGCCCUGUCAGGUGGGAAGAAUGUCCCGGAACUGAACAGGUUUCGGGAGUGACGGUACCACCAGAGGAAGCACCGGCUAACUCCGUGCCAGCAGCCGCGGUAAUACGGAGGGUGCAAGCGUUAUUCGGAAUUACUGGGCGUAAAGCGCGUGUAGGCGGUCCUGCAAGUCUGAUGCGAAAGCCCCGGGCUUAACCCGGGAAGUGCAUUGGAAACUGCAGGUCUUGAGUACUGGAGAGGAUGGGGGAAUUCCCGGUGUAGAGGUGAAAUUCGUAGAGAUCGGGAGGAAUAUCAGUGGCGAAGGCGCCCAUCUGGACGGUAACUGACGCUGAGAUGCGAAAGCGUGGGGAGCAAACA